This 3204-nucleotide ribosomal RNA is filed under the name Triticum aestivum (bread wheat). Its description in RNAcentral is "partial small subunit ribosomal RNA". The record is from RNAcentral. Lineage: Eukaryota; Viridiplantae; Streptophyta; Magnoliopsida; Poales; Poaceae.
AUGGCUGCACAGUUAUAUAGCAACUUGCUGCAGAACAAGCAUGUUGUUAGAGAAUUUCAAGAACUACAGGAUUCCGAGAGACCCCUUGAAGGAUCCAUAGAGUCAAGCUACAAAAGUAUGCCACCGAAUUUGAGGUUAUGCAUUGCUUAUUGCGCCUUCGUAUUGAUGAAAAGAGGCGAAAUAGUCAAAGAGGAUCUGAUUCACCAAUUAAUUGCUCUCGAUCUUAUUGAGCCAUCCGAGGCGUUCUCUGCUCCACAGCUUGCUGAACAAUAUCUCAGGAGGCUCCUGGACAUGUCAUUCCUUCAAACUGCAAAGACAUCUCCGACUAGUGCAAGGGAUGAUACGUGUGCAGUCUCAUUCACCAUGCACAAUGAGGUACAUGGUUUCACAUUAACUUCUUCAAAAAAAAUUUUGGGUGUGAUGGAGUAUGGAAGGAGAUAUCGUGAUAUUCCAGAUUGUUCCUAUGUAUUGCUCUUAGAUCUUGACGGCAAGCCAUUGGACUGGAUAUUCAAAAAGCAAAGUACACGGGCGCUACAUUGUUUAGGCUGUACAAAGAUGAAUUUUGGUAAUGAUUCAUUUUCACUUGCAAGGGGCCUCCGUGUCUUGGAAUUACAUGAUGAGAGCUCCUUGCAGAAGCUACCAGAGUCCAUCUGCCAACUGAGGCAGCUGGGGUAUCUCAAAUUGUCAGGCUGGUCAGGAUUAGUUACUCUGCCGGAAUCAAUUGGUGGUCUAAUAAAUUUGCUCCAUAUCGAUCUAUCGUCAUGUUCUGGACUCAUACAUCUCCCAGGAUCAUUUGGGAAGCUAAUAAAUUUGGUGCAUAUUAGUCUGUCAGGGUGCUGUAAACUAGAAAAUCUCCCAGAAUCAUUUGGGAAGCUAAUCAAGUUGGUGCACAUCAACUUAUCAGGAUCCUCUGCACUAGUACAUUUGCCGGAAUUUUUUGGCAAGCUAAUAAAUUUGGUGCACAUCAACUUAUCAGGUUGCCUUGCACUAGCAAAUCUGCCAGAAUCCAUAGGGGAGCUAACAAAACUGGAGCACAUCAACCUAUCAGGCUGCCAGGCACUAGUAGAUUUUCCUGAAUCUUUCAGGAAGCUAACAAAAUUGGAGCACAUCAACAUAUCAGGCUGCCAUAAACUAGUAAAUCUUCCGGGGUCUUUUGGAAAGCUGACAAGUUUAGUUCAUGUCAACCUAUCAAGCUGCUAUGGACUAUCAAAGCUGCCGCAAUCAUUUGGUAAGCUCACAAAUUUGGCACACAUCAACUUAUCAGGCUGCUCUGUAAUAAAGAAACUGCCGCAAUCAUUCUGCAAGCUCAUAAGUUUGGUGCAUAUCAACUUAUCAAAUUGCUCUGGACUAGCAACUCUUCCAGAAGCUUUUGGGGAUCUACAAAAUUUGUUGCAUGUUGAUCUAUCACGCUGCUAUGGACUAGAGCUGCCAAAAUCAUUUGGAAAGCUAAAAAAUUUGCUUCAUCUGGAUUUAUCAUUCCGGUCUUGUUUUGAAGGGAUGCAAACAAUAUUGGGUGGCCUUACAGGUCUCCAGCAUUUGAAUUUGUCACACCCUUGCUGUCGUCGUGCUGACUACCCCCAUCUCAAAGGAUUGAAACAAGUUCUGGGCCAAUUCGUCAGGCUAGAGCAUCUAAACCUAUCAAUGUUCCUGAAUCCUAUCUUUUGCGACCAGUCACAAAAGGAGAAUCUUGAAUACAUCAAACUUAUCAGCGGCCUCUCCACACUGAAGUAUCUGGACUUAUCUCAUAACAUAUUUCUUCGUGAUCUACCUGAAAGUCUAAAUGGCCUCGAGAGGCUACAUACACUGGACCUCUCAGGCUGCAUUAGACUUAAGAAAGUUAACGAAUGGAGGACUCACAUGCCCUCUUCUCUCAAGUCACUAGUAUUAAGUAACAUGGAAAGUUACCAGUUUGUGGUUGGCCAUGAAGAUGCCAUCAACAACUACAAUCAGCUGGUGGAUGUAAGAUGUAAGGAGUUGAAGAUAACUCGUCUUCAGAAUAUGAAGUCUACGGCAGAAGCACGGAGGAUAAAAUUGGCAAAGAAACAAAAUCUUCAGAAGUUGAUGCUUUCUUGGAAUGUGAGAUCUAGGCGAACCAUGGAGGAUGAUGCUUUGCUCGGAGAACUGGUGCCACCGCAUAGUCUACGGUGCCUUGAGCUAAAAGGUUACAGCAGCACAUGCUUCCCAUCCUGGUUAAGAUGGAGCAGCAUAUCUUCAUUUAAUCUUGUGGAGGUUACCAUGGAGGACAUUCCGAAGUGCAGGGACUUACCACCGCUUGGUCUUUUACCAAACCUGCAGCGAGUGGUUCUCAGAAGGAUGGCCAGAAUCACAAGAAUCGACGCCGGUGACCUGAGUGGCGGCAACACAGCAGCAUUCAAUCGACUUUCCAAGUUUAUCAUAGAAGACAUGGGUAGCCUUGAAGAAUUCACAUACUAUGGUGGUGGUGGUGUUGCAUUCCCGGUUAUUGAUGAAUUGGUGGUGAAAAAAUGUCCCACCCUGAGCUUUGUACCUUUCCCGCCUAGAGCUCGGAGGUUAGUAAUAUCAGACUGCAAUGCUGUGAUGCUUUGCUGGACGAACAGAGCAGGAAGACAUGGUGUGGAGGGCCUUUCUUGUAUCUCUACACCAGUAACCUGGGUUACUGAACUGGUGGUCGAGAACUGCUAUGUGUAUCCAAGUCACUGCUAUUUGCUCAACCACCUCUCUGGCCUCCGCAGCUUAACUAUCAAGAAUUGCACAGAUUUCAACAAUCUUUUCUCACCAGAGAAUAUUGGGUUCCUAUCCUCCCUCCAGAUGCUAUGUUUCUCUCAUUGCCAGAUGGAGACAUUGCCAGAAGAAUUGGGUGACCUGAGCUCUCUCCAGGAACUGCUGAUCGAGUCCUGCGGUCGGUUCCGAGGUUUGCCGAACAAGAUGAAGCACCUUGCCGCCCUUCAGUCAAUGCAUUUCACCGAGUGCAACUCUAUGACAGGACUUCCCCUGUGGUUGGGAAAUCUCACCUCUCUUCAGAAGCUUGCGAUUGAGAGAUGCAUGAAGAUUGAAUCUUUGCCCCCCAGCAUAGGUGAACUAACCAAUCUCAAGGAUCUGCAUAUUGUGAGCUGUUCAGAUCUGAAAUGGUGGUGUGAAAAGGAUGAGAACAAGAAACAUCUCAGUCACAUCCGGCCAAAAAUUGAAGAAGCUCCUACCAGCGUUGCGGGCGAUCACCUUUCGUAA